RNAcentral lists this ribosomal RNA (460 nucleotides) under uncultured bacterium. Its description in RNAcentral is "partial 16S ribosomal RNA". It matches the Rfam family "Bacterial small subunit ribosomal RNA", at positions 338 to 795 of the family's 1533-position model. The record is from RNAcentral.
CCUACGGGUGGCAGCAGUGAGGAAUAUUGGUCAAUGGACGCAAGUCUGAACCAGCCAUGCCGCGUGCAGGAAGACGGCCCUAUGAGUUGUAAACUGCUUUUAUACGGGGGUAAACGCAGAUACGCGUGUCUGUUUGUAAGUAUCGUACGAAUAAGGAUCGGCUAACUCCGGGCACGCAGCCGCGGUAAUACGGAGGAUUCAAGCGUUUUCCGGAUUUAUUGGGUUUAAAGGGUGCGUAGGCGGUCGGAUAAGUUAGAGGUGAAAGCCCGAGGCUCAACCACGGAAUUGCCUCUGAUACUGGUCGACUUGAGUGUAGUUGCGGUAGGCGGAAUGUGUGGUGUAGCGGUGAAAUGCAUAGAGAUCACACAGAACACCGAUUGCGAAGGCAGCUUACCAAGCUACUACUGACGUUGAGGCACGAAAGCGUGGGGAGCAAACAGGAUUAGAUACCCUAGUAGUC